CUGCGCUCUCUCCUUAAUCCCUAUGUAUAUUUAGACAAAUGGAGGUCAUUUAGUUGCUCCAAUGGCCAUACAUAAAUAUACAUAGGGAUUAAGGAGAGAGCACAGGU
Non-coding RNA from Pelobates cultripes (western spadefoot toad), 107 nucleotides. NCBI's taxonomy places the organism in Eukaryota, Metazoa, Chordata, Amphibia, Anura, Pelobatidae. The record is from the annotation of a GenBank genome assembly.